RNAcentral lists this ribosomal RNA (434 nucleotides) under uncultured bacterium. Its description in RNAcentral is "bacterial SSU rRNA". It matches the Rfam family "Bacterial small subunit ribosomal RNA", at positions 42 to 473 of the family's 1533-position model. The record is from RNAcentral.
UCAGGCCUAACACAUGCAAGUCGAACGGUAACGCGGGGCAACCUGGCGACGAGUGGCGAACGGGUGAGUAAUGCAUCGGAACGUGCCCAAUCGUGGGGGAUAACGUAGAGAAAUUUACGCUAAUACCGCAUGAGAUCUACGGAUGAAAGCAGGGGAUCGCAAGACCUUGCGCGAUUGGAGCGGCUGAUGUCAGAUUAGGUAGUUGGUGGGGUAAAGGCCUACCAAGCCGACGAUCUGUAGCUGGUUUGAGAGAACGACCAGCCACACUGGGACUGAGACACGGCCCAGACUCCUACGGGAGGCAGCAGUGGGGAAUUUUGGACAAUGGGCGCAAGCCUGAUCCAGCAAUGCCGCGUGCAGGAAGAAGGCCUUCGGGCUGUAAACUGCUAUUGUACGGAACGAAACGGUCCUGGUUAAUACCCGGGGCUAAUGAC